AGGAGGAAGUGAUGCCACAGCAGACACACAGAGUGUCCGUCCUGACUGUAACAGUGACACAUACACUGCUCUGAACAUGAGGACCAUGUCCCCUGACUACGACACUCUGGCAAAUGUCCAUCCUGACCCUACCAGUAACCCCAACAGCGACAUGUACACAUCUCUGAACAUGAAGACCAGGUCACCAGAGUAUGACACC
Long non-coding RNA from Salvelinus sp. IW2-2015, 199 nucleotides. RefSeq lists it as uncharacterized. The transcript has 3 exons. NCBI's taxonomy places the organism in Eukaryota, Metazoa, Chordata, Actinopteri, Salmoniformes, Salmonidae. The record is from RefSeq and is a predicted model, not a curated record.